CUUUUCUUUUCUAAAGUCUAAAGAGAUUUCCCGGUGAUAACUCCUUUCUAGUAGCAAUUCCGACAAGAGCGGAAAUAACUACGGUUAUUUCCAUUCUUCUUUCUCCUGUUCUUCUUCUAUCUACGGACAAGGCGGAAGGUUCGCUCUUCCUCUCUAGGAUGGGUUCUCUCUCAUUUUAUGCUUUCUUCUCUCUGGCAUGGUACCGUACCUCUUCUUCUUUUCACGGUCUCUCCGCAACGGGAAAGAAAGUGUGCCAAGUCUUGCUCUGGCUUGCCCAAAGCAUUGAACAUACAUAAUUAAGGCAUUACAUUACAUACCCAGGCGGAAAUGGUACACUAUCGAUCCAAGCCGGAUAGGGUUUACGAUACCGAUAAGAUGGACGAGACACGUGGUGAUGGAAAUCUUAUAUAUAUAUAUAUAUAUAUAUAUAUAUAUAUAUAUAUAUAUGGGAUAGUGGGAUGAAAGAGAAUGUCCAUUUCUCUUCUUCCUCAAUCAGUAGCAAAAACCAAAGAUAAGAAGUCUUCUCUAAGCUUCACCAUUGUCGUUACACCAAAGCAUUGGUGAGUUUCUUCUUAGAAUUUCAUUAGAAUUUUGUUAAGGGUAAUAGAUAUUAAAGAUCCAUUAGUUAAUUUAGUGAAUUAGUAAGUUAUUA
Molecule: long non-coding RNA, 652 nt
Organism: Gossypium raimondii (Peruvian cotton)
Lineage: Eukaryota; Viridiplantae; Streptophyta; Magnoliopsida; Malvales; Malvaceae
Exons: 2
Source: RefSeq, a predicted model, not a curated record